Molecule: long non-coding RNA, 1209 nt
Organism: Cydia splendana
Lineage: Eukaryota; Metazoa; Arthropoda; Insecta; Lepidoptera; Tortricidae
Exons: 4
Source: RefSeq, a predicted model, not a curated record
UGAGUCUGCUGGCGUCGGAUGGACACGGUGCGCAUUUUUAUUCUAAAAAAUAGUUUUUAGUGGUUCCUCGCAAGUUUUUUCACAAGAAAAGUUGUAACUAAUCACGAAGGAAGUGAAUUUUACCAAAAAACGAUCUACUUUGAACGACGCCUGUGAAGUAGAGUUGCAAGAACCGCUACAAUCUACAUCGAAAGAAGAAGAGAAAGAUACACGUAAAAUGAAAAAAGAAAGAGUGAACAAAAGAACUAAUAACAAUAGGAUGGUGGAAUCAUUAAGAGGGAAGGAAAAAGAAGUGAAUUUUACCAAAAAACGAUCUACUUUGAACGACGCUUGUGAAGUAGAGUUGCAAGAACCGCUACAAUCUACAUCGAAAGAAGAAAAAGAUAUGCUUAAAAUGAAAGAAGAAAGAGUAACGAAAAGAUCUAUUAACAACAGGAUGGUGGAAUCACUAAGAGGGAAGGAAAACGAUAUGCCGAAUUCCUCCGAAGUAAAUAACGAUCUCAACGAGGGAGACUUUAUUCUUGCUGCAUUUCAGUCGAUCAAAGGCAAAAGAACCUACAAAUACGUUUGCCUUAUUGAUCAAAUCAACCAAGAAAAAAUUUUAGUAAAAGGACUCAAAUCUUAUAAAAAUAACAGAGAAUUUAGGUUAGUUGAAGAUGAUAUUUCAAUUAUAGAAAAAAAAGAUGUGAUCUCACGUUUACCAAAACCUGUGUUAAAUGAACAAAGAGACACUGUGAUAUUUCCUUAUAAGGUAGAGAUAUUUGAAUGUAAGUAAACAAGUUACCCUUUCUGAGAGAAUGGACAUUUGGGAAAUGUAAACAAUUAUUCAUAUAGUAUUAAGUACAAAAACGUUAUUUAAUUUAAGUGUUAAAACUAAUUUCAUGUUACUAAUAGAAGCUUAUAAACGUAAUAAAUUACGUUACGUUACGAUUUUUCAUAUUAAUUAGUAUGGUAUUCAGUACAAAAACUUUAUUUAAUUUAAGUAUAUACCAAAAGACUUAUUUCUUGUUAGUUACUAGUAAAUAGUUUCAAAAUAUAACUAAAAAAGACUGUAUAAAUAAACAUAAAAUAUUUUAUUAUUAUGAUUAAUAAAAAUAAGCUAGACAAAAUAGUUUAAGUAUGCAUAAAAAACUUUUUUCUUGGCAUUAAUUAAAGCUAGGAAACGUAACUUUGCAACCUUACUAAUUAGUAAAUAGUUUGAUAAAAGUU